UGGGGAAUCUUGCGCAAUGGCCUAACGGCUGACGCAGCGACGCCGCGUGUGGGAUGAAGCUCUUCGGAGUGUAAACCACUGUUGCCCGGGACGAACAGCUCGAAUUCUCGAGCCUGACGGUACCGGGUGAGGAAGCACCGGCUAACUCCGUGCCAGCAGCCGCGGUAAUACGGGGGGUGCGAGCGUUGUCCGGAAUCACUGGGCGUAAAGGGCGCGUAGGUGGUUUGAUAAGGGUGUGGUGAAAGCCCGGGGCUCAACCCCGGGUCUGCCGUGCCGACUGUCAAACUCGAGGACUGUAGAGGCAGACGGAAUUCCGGGUGUAGCGGUGGAAUGCGUAGAGAUCCGGAGGAAGACCGGUGGCGAAGGCGGUCUGCUGGGCAGUUUCUGACACUGAGGCGCGACAGCGUGGGGAGCAAACAGG
RNAcentral lists this ribosomal RNA (421 nucleotides) under uncultured bacterium. RNAcentral describes it as "bacterial SSU rRNA". It matches the Rfam family "Bacterial small subunit ribosomal RNA", at positions 355 to 776 of the family's 1533-position model. The record is from RNAcentral.